CCCGCCGCCGCACUCGCCUCGCCUACGCACCCUCCUCUUCUUCCACUACUACUGCUACUUCUUCUCCAGCCCGCUAGUUGCCGCGGCACUGAGCGGCGGCGUCUCUUCCGGAGUGAUCAGCAGAGAAAACAGGUUAUUGUCUGCCUAUCUACCACACAGCAAGAUGUCGGUAGCCAAGAAGGACGAGGUUUGCGGUCAUCCGCUUGGGCUGCGAUUGGGUGAGCCGGCUGCUGGUGUUCCCAUUAAGAAAAGGCCGGUUUUCUUAUCCGACAAAUCAGUUCCAUCUGGAAUGACACUCUCCAUGAAGCCCCCAUCUACUCCGACGGGGAUGUCCGUCUCGGCUCUGGGGGCUGGCUUUAGCAACGAGCCUGUCUUGAAUAGAUCUAAAUCGGAUAUUCCCAGUAGAUCUUUUACUCCGUUGACGAACGAGAAGAAAGGCGUGCUACUUAAUGGCUCAAGCGAGAUCCCCUCUCGUGGAGAGAGUGGUAGACUAGGGAGUGCUGCUCCCGUUGCCAGAUCACAGAGUCACAAGUUUCUGACUUUGGAUUUACAGUUAGCGUCUCGUCAGAAUGUCAAAAUCAACUCUAAUUCCCCUGUCAAGAAAGAGAAACUAGAUCAGGGGUUUUCUAUAUUUCCUUCAGCAAGACCUCCCAAGGAUGUGCAAACAACAAGUGGCAUGGAAUCUUCUUCUAACUCUAGCUUGGGAAAACUAUCUAAUUUAGAUCUUAAUGUAUCACUGGACCCAGUUGAUCAACUUGAAGGUUUGCCUACAAUGCAGGCUGGCUUUAACAUACCCCAUCAUACAACAAUUCAGCAUCAGAAAGCACAGGUUCCCCCAGUGGCACCCUUUUCUUCAGUAAGCAGUCGGCUGAGUCUAAAUAUUGACAAUACUCUGAAACCGUCAAGUGCAUAUCAACUUCCUAAUAAGAGUGUGGCAGCUGAUGUUACCUUAGAUUUGCAACUUAAACCACCAACCAGACCAGAGCUUGGAAUAAGCUGGAAAGGCCUUGCUCCUGAUCCAGAGCUAAGCCUCUCUCUAUCUGGUAAUCACACAGAUGAGCCUAAGGGUCUGAAUGUUCCUGAUGCUAUAUUUACGUCUGAACCUGUUGAAAGAGCCAAUAAGAUCAGCCUGGAGGUUCCUGCACCAGUCUCCAAUAAAUCACCAGCUGAGAAGAUUUCGAAACCUAUGGCGUGUAAUGUAAAUCCUCACACCACCAUGCCACACUCAGUUUCUGGAAAUGUGGAGAUAAUGCCCAGUAAUUUGGUGAAGAAAGAGCCUGGAGAACCUACACGGCGACAUAUCCAGAAAAAUGUAGAAAAGGCACCUCUGUUCGUCCAACAAAGUGUUGGACAGGCUAGCAGUAGUGCUGAAUUUGAAAAAACUGGCAACCUAAACCAAGUGUGUGGUAAAGCUGGCUUUGAUUUGUACUCUGGAAAGUUUCCAAAUGGUAGUGGUGUCCGCAAUGGAUUGGAGGUAGUGACUGAUAGUGUUCCUGCACAAACUGACAAGUUGUGUGGUGUUGCUUGCACUGAGAAAUUUAUCAAGCGUGAAGAAGUGACAACUGCCAUCCCAAGCCCUGUGAUUGCAACAGUAAGUGGUCAGUCUGAGUCAUUAAUUGCUAAAUCACUGCAUUUGGAAGGUAAUGUUGCCAGCCCUGUUGCUGGAUUAUGUGAACCAGCUAGUCAACCCACCAUUUCUGCUUCGGGACCUGCAAGCUGUAAUCCUGUUAAAGCUACUAUUGAUUGUAAACCAGCAGUUAAUCAGAUUCAUGCUCACAAAAAUGUGGCCCGGAAGCCUUGUGAUGUAUCUCGAAGUUCCUCCAACCCUACAGCUGAACCUCUGGUUUUCAAUUCUCUGCACCGUGCUGUACUUGAUGGUAUGUCCCAAGGAAGUGCUUCAAUGGACUUUUCAGAGGAUGGUGAUAAUGCUGUUUCACAGCUGCCUACUACCAAUAACCCUCGUGUUGAGUCAUUGGGUAAUAGUCAAAUUACUGAGGUUAAUAACUUAAUCACAGAGCCGCGGAAAGAAGGUGAUAGUAAUAUGCAUCAUGACUGUUUGUCCGUGACAAAUAAGGUUCACAUUCAGGGCACUGAUGAUGUGAAGCGUGUUAAUACGCCAGAUGUCAUUGCCACCCAUUCAGGUGAGGAGGAGCAUGAAAGUGAGGUUUCUGUUAAUGGGAAAGCCAAAGACAAACAAUUGUUGACAUCUGAUAAGAAUUCCCCACUGACUAAUACUGACAUUACCAUGGAAGAUGUUAAGAUUUCCGCAGGUGCCAGUUCAGCAGAUCUUACAAGAUCACCUAUUUUGGGAGCUUCAGGUUCCCAUAAAAUAGAUUCUACGAGGCAAUCUCCCAAGACAUCUGAUAACACUGUCGAGAAGUGUAGAAUCCCAGUGAUAAAAUCUGAAAGGAGUCAGUCUCCUGAUGGUAAACAAGCUGCUAAUUGUAGCGAGGACAAUACAAAAAUUGCUGCUGUAAAGAGUGAGCAUGGGACAGAAAAGGAAGAGAUUGCUAGAGGCUCUAAUUUACAGCCAAACGAUCCAGUUUUGGGUGAAGAUUCACUUGUUGACAGAGCUUCGACCAGUCAACUACAUAAUGAAUCUACAGAGGUAAAAUCGACAGGUGAAAGAUCAGAACACGAAAAAUCCAAACCUGACUCUUGCAUGACAUCUUCUGUACAGAAUGAAAAAGAUGGACAGGUUAAUGGGUCGCAUUGGCGAGAUGUGGCAAAUGCUUAUGUUAAUAGGAAUGAAAGAUGGGAGAGGUUCAUGCAGUCUGAGCGAGAGAACAAUAGAGAGUUCCAUGGUGGCAGAGACAUGAACAAUCAACGGAGGAUAGACCCACGUUAUCGUGGUCGUGGUGGUGGAUAUCAUGGCUAUCCAAGGAACUUCAGGGGUCCAAGAAUGAGCGAUGAGUCUGAAAUUGACUUCGAAGAUGAACCUAUUGUUGGCAGAAGGAGGCCACAUGAAAAUGACUACGGGCACUUGCACCGAACUCAGCAUAGGCGGCUGCGUUCACCACUGCAUCAGAUGCCUGGCUGCCUCAUGAGAGAAAUGGAGCAUGACAGAUUUUCUGGGAGAGAGAUUAUGGACCCUAGGCUGUUGGAUCACGGGCAGAUGGAUGAUGUCCCAGAUGACAUGAUGGAACAGAGGUUUUUCAUGCCCCAUCCUCAUUCACAGCACACUCUAGGUGAUCAUGCAUUUAUCCACAGGGACAGGAGUCAUUCACCUGGUCAAAGAAGGGGCGCCCCCGUGCAUUUCCACCGGGGACGGUCCCCUGAAACCAUGCACAGAUCACCACCACUAAACAGAAGUGACAGACCAUACUUACCUCAUCAACGCCACAUACGACGCCGUGGUUCUCCAUUCGACCGAGUAGGACAUGACGAGAGAGGUAUGCAAAGGAACAUGAAGCGGUGUGGCAUGCAUCAAGGUGUGGAAGGUGAGACCUUUGAGCCACCUUUACAUCCCGCUCAACUAGCCGUGCUACAUGCAGAGGCUGAGCUUACAGAGAGAAGGAGGUUUGGGGAGAGGAGAGGGUAUCGUCGAUCCUUGGAACGGAGCCCCAUGGGCGGCGACGAGGAGAUGCUCUCAUACCACCACGGCGAUGGCGACAUCGACUUCGCCGAUGGUGAUGGCGGUCCACGGGAGCCUGAUGGCCGUGGCUUCAGGAACAGAAUGGAGCACCGAGCAAGGGGCGAGCAGGAAGACGGCUUCAGGUACCGUGGCCCUCAGGGGUGCCGUGACGGCAACCCGAAUGACAGUAGAUCGAAGAAGAGGAGGUACUGACCUAGCAAGGGAUGGAUGAAUGCAUCUGAAUCUUCUACCGACUAAUACAUAGUGGCAUUUUGAUUCAGCCGUCGUCGCUUCUGUUAGCCAAAUCAAGAAGUGUUCGCUGACCACACCCCCCCUCUUCCUACAUUGGUUUGUUUGUUGCGUUCUUUCUCAGGAGAUAUGCUGCAGCAUUAAUAACAUCUACAGUGAUACACAUGUUACACUGAUGAGAUGAUUGUCAUCGGCUGGCUGCAUCUUUCGAUCCUGGUUGGCAUAAGCUGAAGCUAGCAUGUCAACAUGGAGGACAGUUUUUGCCAAAUCUUCAAACUAAACGAGAGAUGGCCUGAAGCUACUUGCAGAAGUGUCUUUAUCUAUCUAUCCGGGCUUUACCUACUUGCUGCACGGUAUUGGUAGGGCGCCCUGUAUUAAAGCGACUUGUCUUCACUAUAGUUUGCCUAGUUGUUGGUCCGGAAAAGCAGAUGGGAUACGGUACCGCAUACCCACCCGGUUUGGAUGUGGUUUAAUUAGGACUUGUUGCUGUCUUUGGACAAGACUUUUUACCUACUGUUUAUUAAUGGGUGUGACCUGCACCACCGCCACCGGGCAAUUUGCAUCGAAUAAAAGUCCGCGGUGUGUUCGGCAUUGCCCUUUUUUCUAAUGGUGCAGUGGAAAAGUAAGCAGCAGCUCAUGAUGGAUGCCC
Molecule: ribosomal RNA, 4472 nt
Filed under: Triticum aestivum (bread wheat)
Lineage: Eukaryota; Viridiplantae; Streptophyta; Magnoliopsida; Poales; Poaceae
Description: partial small subunit ribosomal RNA
Source: RNAcentral